GGUCUGUUAGCUCAGCGGGAGAGCACUUCGUUGACAUCGAAGGGGUCACUGGUUCGAUCCCAGUACAGACCA
This 72-nucleotide transfer RNA is filed under the name Salinicoccus roseus. It matches the Rfam family "tRNA". From Rfam's summary of the family: Transfer RNA (tRNA) molecules are approximately 80 nucleotides in length. Their secondary structure includes four short double-helical elements and three loops (D, anti-codon, and T loops). The record is from Rfam by way of RNAcentral. RNAcentral also lists the same sequence under 8 other names. Lineage: Bacteria; Bacillati; Bacillota; Bacilli; Caryophanales; Staphylococcaceae.